CUGUUGCAUAAAAAUUUAUGUCAUAAUGACAUAAAUUUCGAUCAUGACAUAAAAUCAUGCAUAGCUUAUGUCGUUGACAUAAAUUUCGUUGCAUAAAAAUAUUUAUGUAUUGUUUUAGCUUAUGCCAAGUUAUCACGCGAUAUACAUAAACUGAAUAGUCAUGAACGAGCCUGUUGACAUAAACUUGGCAUAAGUUGUCAUUUUUCAGCCGCAGGAAGCUCUUGCGAAAAAGGGGUCUUCGGCUUCCUAUUUGGACGGGAUAGAGGCCUAUUUUGGUGACCCACACAAACGGUGAGAAGAGGUACAUGUAUAGAGAGAAAGGGGCACAGCAACUGAAAGGAGAGGGAAGUCCAGACACUCUACCAUGGUCUGCCAUUGAAUAAGAAGUCUCUCUUUGGAUCAGGGGGUCAAGCUCCUAGUAUGAAGAUUGUUCAAGAGUCAAGACUGUUGAAGAGGUGACGUCAUGGACCUGGUAGCACCUGGCAAGGGAACUAUAUUACUGUUCAUAAAUCUAUUACUCAAGUAUCCUAAAAACGCUUUAAAAAUUUGAACAUUAACAAAAGUACUAAUUUUCAUUUUUCAAAGAUAAUAAUCAUUAUAUUGACAUUGUGAAUAUAUUUUAUGAUUAUCAUAAAAUUAUUAUAAUGUAAAUGAUGAUAGGUCAUACUAAUACAAAUAAACAAUAAGUAGAAAAGAAGACAACCAAGAAGGAGGAGGAGAAGAAGAAAAAGAAGAGGGUGGAAGAGGAGAAAAUGAGAAGAAGAAGAAUAAAUAACAACACUCAGUUCCUCUUCAUGAUAUUACAGAAAUCUUCAUCUUUAAGUGGAAAUAUUUAUGAAUAGUAUAAUAUAUAAUGUAUGAAAAAAACAUUUUAUCUAAAUCCAAGUUCCACUUUAAUCAUGUUUAUAAAGUCAUAGGACAGGUGACAAGAUAACAUUGUUUCACAAAUUUUAGUGUUCAUUUAUUUUAAAAGUAAUAAAUUUACAUGAAAUGUCAUUCUUUUUGCUUCAUCUCUUUGUUUAUUUUA
Lytechinus variegatus (green sea urchin) is the source of this 1027-nucleotide long non-coding RNA. RefSeq lists it as uncharacterized. The record is from RefSeq and is a predicted model, not a curated record. The transcript has 3 exons. NCBI's taxonomy places the organism in Eukaryota, Metazoa, Echinodermata, Echinoidea, Temnopleuroida, Toxopneustidae.